This is a long non-coding RNA of Pipistrellus kuhlii (Kuhl's pipistrelle), 768 nucleotides long. RefSeq lists it as uncharacterized. The record is from RefSeq and is a predicted model, not a curated record. The transcript has 2 exons. NCBI's taxonomy places the organism in Eukaryota, Metazoa, Chordata, Mammalia, Chiroptera, Vespertilionidae.
GUGAGUCUCACCAGUGCAGACUCCCCUUGGGGCCUGUUGGGCACUCAGAUGGAGCAGCCCAUGUCCUGGCUAACAACUGGCACCCCAGCCUUGACAUCAGGGUGCUCUUAUUCCCUUUCAGUAAGUCAUGCGCCGCCGUCCCCCUCCCCCCCCCCCAACAAAAGGGCGCUCCCAAGAGCUGGUGGAGGUGUUCAGAGCCACAAGACAGAGGACUUGUUCAAGAGGAGUAUUUGGGGGAGUGAAUCAAACAGUGGUCUCAUUUUUUGCUAUUUUUGUUAGUUUGGGUUUCUGAUUCUUUAAAAACACCCAAGUGUCUACAAUCACCACCAGUAUUUUCUCUCUGGGCAGGGUUUUCCUGUAAGGCAGUUCUCACCUGUACCCAAGCAGCCCAGUGGGUGCUCCCAGGGAUGCCCCCAGUGGCCUCCUCCAGGGGCACUUGCUUAUUUCAUCUUCACAUGCACAAUAAGACACUUUCCAACACGAAGGGUGGAAGAUGCAAACCUUUUCUACAGGAAGCUCAGUUUAACUUUUAUAGGUCUUGUCUUCCCGUUUUUUUCUUGCCUUUGAUCUCAGAAAGUUACCACGAAGGUGCCUACUAGGUUUUAAGACAUCGAUUUCCACAGCUGAAUGUACUGCCUGACCCUCACAAUCAACCGACAGUAUUGAGUAUCGCUGACAAACACCUCAAUGUCAUGAUAAUGGGAACACCAGUCAUCUUUAAUCUUGCCUCGGACAAGCCUUGGCUCCCAGUUAAGCAUAAAAGUGAAG